Molecule: ribosomal RNA, 463 nt
Filed under: uncultured bacterium
Lineage: Bacteria
Description: partial 16S ribosomal RNA
Rfam family: Bacterial small subunit ribosomal RNA
Source: RNAcentral
GACGAACGCUGGCGGCGUGCUUAACACAUGCAAGUCGAACGGAAAGGCCUUUUCGGAGGUACUCGAGUGGCGAACGGGUGCGUAACACGUGGGUGAUCUGCCCUGCACUCUGGGAUAAGCCUGGGAAACUGGGUCUAAUACCGGAUAGGACCGCACUUUAGUGUGUGUGGUGGAAAGUUUUUUCGGUGUAGGAUGAGCCCGCGGCCUAUCAGCUUGUUGGUGGGGUAAUGGCCUACCAAGGCGGCGACUGGUAGCCGGACUGAGAGGUUGGUCGGCCACAUUGGGACUGAGAUACGGCCCAGACUCCUACGGGAGGCAGCAGUGGGGAAUAUUGCACAAUGGGCGCAAGCCUGAUGCAGCGACGCCGCGUGGGGGAUGACGGCCUUCGGGUUGUAAACUCCUUUCGCCAGGGACGAAGCGUUUUGUGACGGUACCUGGAGAAGAAGCACCGGCUAACUACGUG